AGCAGCCGCGGUAAUUCCAGCUCCAAUAGCGUAUAUUAAAGUUGUUGCAGUUAAAAAGCUCGUAGUUGAAUUUCGGGGUUAGUAGGUUGGUCAUGCCUCUGGUAUGUACUGGUCUCACUGAUUCCUCCUUCCUGAUGAACCUCAAUGCCAUUAAUUUGGUGUUUUGGGGAAUUUGGACUGUUACUUUGAAAAAAUUAGAGUGUUUAAAGCAAGCUAACGCUUGAAUACAUUACCAUGGAAUAAUGAAAUAGGACGUUCGAUCCUAUUUUGUUGGUUUCUAGGAUUGACGUAAUGAUUAAUAGGGAUAGUUGGGGGCAUUAGUAUUCAAUUGUCAGAGGUGAAAUUCUUGGAUUUAUUGAAGACUAACUACUGCGAAAGCAUUUGCCAAGGAUGUUUUCAUUAAUCAAGAACGAAAGUUAGGGGAUCGAAGACGAUCAGAUACCGUCGUAGUCUUAACCAUAAACUAUGCCGACUAGGGAUCGGAUGAUGUUAAUUUUUUAAUGACUCA
RNAcentral lists this ribosomal RNA (508 nucleotides) under uncultured glomeraceous AM fungus. Its description in RNAcentral is "SSU rRNA". It matches the Rfam family "Eukaryotic small subunit ribosomal RNA", at positions 569 to 1078 of the family's 1831-position model. Lineage: Eukaryota; Fungi; Glomeromycota; Glomeromycetes; Glomerales; Glomeraceae. The record is from RNAcentral.